GAGACCCAAAGACUAGAUAUUAGCCAUGGGUUGGCAGGUGUAGAAGGGACCAUUGUGGUCCAGGAAAGAGCUGGUCCAGGUGAACUAUCCAUGGGAAGACCAUGGAUGACAAAGUGCCUACUAUGUGUUAGGCCCAGCGCCAGGUGUGGGGACUACAGAGAUGAGUAAGCUGUCCCUGCCAUUCCUGAUUGAGAUGCUCACACAUCCGCGUGGCGAAACAAGAUUACUCAGUAAAUAGAUCUGGCAGAGGACCUGUUCAUUUAUAGCAAGAUCUUCCCUCUCAAAGAGCCUGGAUUGUGUAUUUCACUGUAGGGCAACCUCAAAGAUACGGCAUUCCUAAGAUAAUCUGCUUUUGAAAAUAGCACAGGAUUAUUUUGCUGUAAGAUUUUUCCCUACAGUUUUCUGAGACUUUUGCCCUGAAUGGAGAAGGGGCCCCCGGCUAUACAAAUGCAGAUCAAACCCACUGGUGAGAAGAUACCUUGUGAACAAAGCAAGUUGACUCUCUAAAAUUUUCUCUGCUCGAUAGUUGUUGAUAUAUCCUUGAAGGAUUUUUAAAGAAAGUCCUAUAAACACCAUCCCUUCAGA
Molecule: long non-coding RNA, 585 nt
Organism: Suricata suricatta (meerkat)
Lineage: Eukaryota; Metazoa; Chordata; Mammalia; Carnivora; Herpestidae
Exons: 2
Source: RefSeq, a predicted model, not a curated record